ACGCUCGACACCUACGGGAGGCAGCAGUCGGGAAUAUUGCGCAAUGGAGGAAACUCUGACGCAGUGACGCCGCGUGCAGGAAGAAGGUUUUCGGAUUGUAAACUGCUUUAGACAGGGAAGAAUAAUGACAGUACCUGUAGAAUAAGCUCCGGCUAACUACGUACCAGCAGCCGCGGUAAUCUGAGCGGGCUGGCAAGGC
Molecule: ribosomal RNA, 199 nt
Filed under: uncultured bacterium
Lineage: Bacteria
Description: partial 16S ribosomal RNA
Rfam family: Bacterial small subunit ribosomal RNA
Source: RNAcentral